GGCAUUAAGGUAUGCCUGCCCAGUGACCAUGUGUUCAACGGCCGCAGUAUUCUGACCGCGCGAAGGUAGCGUAAUCACUUGUUUUUUAAAUAAAGACCUGUAUGAACGGCCCCACGAGGACCUAACUGUCUCCUUUGUCCAAUCAGUGAAACUGAUCUCCCCGUGCAGAAGCGGGGAUUAUACCAUAAGACGAGAAGACCCUAUGGAGCUUUAAACUUUUAUUAAUUAUUUCCUCCACCCCCUCCAAGGAAUUAACAACUAACUUAAUCUUCUUAAUAAAAGUUUUGGGUUGGGGCGACCAUGGAGAAAAAAAAAUCCUCCCUGAUGAUAACCUAACUAAGAACCACAGCUCUAAGUAUUAAGACACUUAACUAUUAUUGACCCAUUUUAUGAUCAACGAACCAAGUUACCCUAGGGAUAACAGCGCAAUCCAUUUCAAGAGUCCCUAUCGACAAAUGGGUUUACGACCUCGAUGUUGGAUCAGGGCAUCCAAGUGGUGCAACCGCUACUAAAGGUUCGUUUGUUCAACGAUUAAAGCCCUACGUGAUCUGAGUUC
Molecule: ribosomal RNA, 556 nt
Filed under: Megophrys brachykolos (short-legged toad)
Lineage: Eukaryota; Metazoa; Chordata; Amphibia; Anura; Megophryidae
Description: Xenophrys brachykolos (short-legged toad) partial 16S ribosomal RNA
Rfam family: Bacterial large subunit ribosomal RNA
Source: RNAcentral